AACGGUAAAGUUACCAUCAGCAUUUAUUUAAUCUUGUCUGACCUCAAGAGCAAAGCAGGAUCAGAUCUAGUUGGUACUUGGAUGUCAGACCACCUGUGAGUAAGCAGAUACUAUAGUUU
Molecule: ribosomal RNA, 119 nt
Filed under: Salvator merianae (Argentine black and white tegu)
Lineage: Eukaryota; Metazoa; Chordata; Lepidosauria; Squamata; Teiidae
Source: RNAcentral